Molecule: ribosomal RNA, 301 nt
Filed under: uncultured Bacillus sp.
Lineage: Bacteria; Bacillati; Bacillota; Bacilli; Caryophanales; Bacillaceae
Description: bacterial SSU rRNA
Rfam family: Bacterial small subunit ribosomal RNA (bases 62-301)
Source: RNAcentral
CUGAAACGGCGGGGCGGGAGGCGGGGGGAUAGGAGUGGGGCUAGGGUUGCUCGGAGGGGAGGGUCGUAAAGGGGGGUUAGGCGGAUCGGACAGGCAGGGGGUAAAUUCCCGGGCUCAACCUGGGGGCGGCGUUUGAUACGGGAGGUCUGGAGUGGGGAAGAGGGUCGUGGAAUUCCCAGUGUAGAGGUGAAAUUCGUAGAUAUUGGGAAGAACACCGGUGGCGAAGGCGGCGACCUGGUCCUUGACUGACGCUGAGGCGCGAAAGCGUGGGGAGCAAACAGGAUUAGAUACCCCUGUAGUC